UCGCUAGUAAUCGUGAAUCAGAAUGUCACGGUGAAUACGUUCCCGGGCCUUGUACACACCGCCCGUCAAGCCAUGGAAGCCGGGAGUGCCUGAAGUGCGUGAGCGCAAGCAGCGCCCUAAGGUAAAACCGGUGACUGGGGCUAAGUCGUAACAAGGUAGC
RNAcentral lists this ribosomal RNA (160 nucleotides) under uncultured bacterium. RNAcentral's name for it is "partial 16S ribosomal RNA". It matches the Rfam family "Bacterial small subunit ribosomal RNA", at positions 1332 to 1500 of the family's 1533-position model. The record is from RNAcentral.